AUGGAGUAACCUCGGAUUUACAAUACAUUCUUUACUCUGAACUUAUUAUUAUAUAUAUAACUUAUUAUAUUCUUUGUUCUGGCAACACACUUAUUUUAAAAGUAAAAAGAAGAACUAUUGAAUGUAAUCGAAAAAGAAAUAAAUGACAGAACUAUCAACCUGACAUAAGCGUGUCAUCACAAGACGCUGUUUGAUAAUACUAAUUUUUAUAAUAUUAUUUAAUAUUCAAAAUGAUCCAAAAACGCGUUCGCCCCAUAAACUGGGUCGAAGAAGAAAAGCAAUUAUUUCGUGUCUUUUACAAAGAACAUGCGCAAGUUAUUGAAAAUAAAUCGCUAGAUACCAACACGAACAGGACAAAAGCAUGGGAGCAAGUUCACACAACGUGGCCAAACGAAAAAUAAAUUUAAAUAAUGUCAUGAAUAGCGAUUAAACUCUAGAAAGGUCGUCCGCGUAGAACGCGAGUUUGGCGUCGUCGUCCGUUCUACCGUGCAAGAAGGUGGCCACGAUCCUGACUAGUCGACGAGGAGUAGUAGAUGUAGCCAGCUUGCUGAGCAGGCCGGCGUGCCAGACGCGGUCGAACGCCUUCUCCAUAUCGAGGAAUACUACCGCGGCCCGUUACGCGCGGCGACCAGGUCGUGCAGUACCCUCGCAACCUGCUGGGUCGUGGAGUAUUCGGCCCUGAACCCGAACUGUUCGACACGUGGAUUUUCUAUCCAUGUUUAUUCGCAUGUAAACUUCACAAAUGCAAAUUAGGAUAUUUAUGACGUCAUCCGUUGAUUUGUUCGCCGAUAGGCUGUGCGCCACUAUUGUCACCUGUUAGGUACUUGUCAGGUGUCGCCACAAGGUAUAUGUAAAUACUGAAGGUUUAACUCGAAAUAAAUAAAAAUUAGCUA
Molecule: long non-coding RNA, 893 nt
Organism: Spodoptera frugiperda (fall armyworm)
Lineage: Eukaryota; Metazoa; Arthropoda; Insecta; Lepidoptera; Noctuidae
Exons: 4
Source: RefSeq, a predicted model, not a curated record